This 432-nucleotide unclassified non-coding RNA is filed under the name soil metagenome. Its description in RNAcentral is "partial contains 5.8S ribosomal RNA, internal transcribed spacer 2, and large subunit ribosomal RNA". The stretch from base 1 to 120 matches the Rfam family "5.8S ribosomal RNA", at positions 35 to 154 of the family's 154-position model. The record is from RNAcentral.
GAUGAAGAACGUAGCGAAAUGCGAUACGUAAUGUGAAUUGCAGAAUUCAGUGAAUCAUCGAAUCUUUGAACGCAUAUUGCGCUCUCUGGUAUUCCGGAGAGCAUGCUUGUUUGAGUAUCAGUAAACACCUCAACUUCCAUAUCUUUUUUGAAAUGGGAGUUGGACUUGAGUGAUCCCAACGCUUUUCCUCACCGAAAAGUGGCGGGUUACUUGAAAUGCAGGUGCAGCUGGACUUUUCUCUGAGCUAUAAGCAUAUCUAUUUAGUCUGCCUAAAAAACAGAUUAUUACCUUUGCUGCAGCUAACAUAAAGGAGAUUAGUUCUUGUGCUGACUGAUGCAGGAUUCACAAAGGCGGCUUCGGCCGACUUUGUAAACUCGAUCUCAAAUCAAGUAAGACUACCCGCUGAACUUAAGCAUAUCAAUAAGCGGAGGA